UCCCUGAACGGGUUGAAAUAUAAGGCGAAGGCCGUGCACUGAAUUGUGCAUGAAGGAGAGCAGUCAGUAAGCCAGGUGCCGCUCCAUGCUGUCCACCUGAUGCCUGCCCUUACUAUCAGUUUCAUGAGCUGUGGCAUUUCAUCUGCUUGCUGCCAUGGUAACCAGGACUCCUGCCAGUCUUCUUGAUUCCCAUCUUUUAUUCAUCUUUUAUUCAUUUAUAACCUUUGACACCAGUGCCGGUAUUGAUGUCUCUGCACAGACUAGCUGCAGGGGUCCUUUGGACGCCCGCUGCAUUUAAGCCCCUUUCCCCACUGGCUGUCUAUGGUUCUGGUGGGACAGCCAGUCCAAGCGUCCUGCCGAGAGGAUGCCCUUUCCCCGGAGUUUGAAUAUUGAGUCCUGGGCUGCAAGGACUGGCAGUGACUGGUGCUGACUCACCCUGGCCAAGGUGCUCUGAAGAAGCCACUGGUUAGUCCCUGCCUCCCAGACCCCUGGAGCUGCUGUGGUCCCUGAACUCUCCGAGGCCUGCCUCUCCAGAUUUUCCUCCGUAUCUGUGAGCUAUUCGUAUCCUUCCAAUAAAUGUGUCUUUCUCUCUGUCUCUCUUUUUAAAAAAAAACAAAAAAUCUUUAAGUUAGCCAGAAAUAGUUUCUGUUGAUUUUACCCAAAGAUCCCUUCCAAUAGAGCUGUUAUGAUCGGAACUGACCAGACUUUAAUCAUUCU
Molecule: long non-coding RNA, 717 nt
Organism: Budorcas taxicolor (takin)
Lineage: Eukaryota; Metazoa; Chordata; Mammalia; Artiodactyla; Bovidae
Exons: 3
Source: RefSeq, a predicted model, not a curated record